CCUACGGGCGGCAGCAGUCGAGAAUCAUUCACAAUGGGGGAAACCCUGAUGGUGCGACGCCGCGUGGGGGAAUGAAGGUCUUCGGAUUGUAAACCCCUGUCAUGUGGGAGCAAAUUAAAAAGAUAGUACCACAAGAGGAAGAGACGGCUAACUCUGUGCCAGCAGCCGCGGUAAUACAGAGGUCUCAAGCGUUGUUCGGAAUCACGGGGCGUAACGCGUGCGUAGGCUGUUUCGUAAGUCGUGUGUGAAAGGCGCGGGCUCAACCCGCGGACGGCACAUGAUACUGGGAGACUAGAGUAAUGGAGGGGGAACCGGAAUUCUCGGUGUAGCAGUGAAAUGCGUAGAUAUCGAGAGGAACACUCGUGGCGAAGGCGGGUUCCUGGACAUUAACUGACGCUGAGGCACGAAGGCCAGGGGAGCGAAAGGGAUUAGAUACCCGUGUAGUC
RNAcentral lists this ribosomal RNA (446 nucleotides) under uncultured bacterium. RNAcentral's name for it is "partial 16S ribosomal RNA". It matches the Rfam family "Bacterial small subunit ribosomal RNA", at positions 338 to 795 of the family's 1533-position model. The record is from RNAcentral.